AUUCCAAAGAAAUUUGUAUCUGGUUUCAAAGAAACAGUGUGUCACUAGGGUGAGCGGUUCAAUGGUUGAAUGUAGAUAAUGGAUCAUGAAAGGCAUGAAUGAUGCCCUAAUGCGGAAGGUUAAUAAUUAGGAUUAUGCUCGCCAAGGAUUCACAUCCUCGUGCCUAUGUAUUAUCAUCGUGCAAUGAGAAAGUCAUAGAAUUUGUAGUUUGUGGAACCACGAAAACAAAGGAAGAGAUAAGGAAGUGUUUGCCUAGGCAAAUAGGACUAAUAAGACAAACAACUUCAAGGGUAUAAUUGAAGUGAUGAAUAAGAUAACUUGCACCAACAAAAUAGUAACAUGGGAACCCACAAAGGAGAGUGAACUUUGAACCAAAGAGUAAACAGGCGUCUUAGCCAAAAAGAAGGAAUUAAAUGUUUGGGUACGAGCUAAACAACUCUUGGUUCACAAGGUGGACUGCUGCUAUAUCAUCCUAAAAGGGUAUAUACGGGGCCCAAAAGAAAGUAUUGUUGGGUACAAGGAACAGUAUAUCACUGGAUGGGGAACGAACAAUUUGAGAUCAAAGAUGAAUGGUAUCUUGGAUCAAUGAAGGAAUAGACUCUGAACCGAGGAGUA
This 615-nucleotide long non-coding RNA is filed under the name Lathyrus oleraceus (garden pea). Its description in RNAcentral is "Pisum sativum (pea) long non-coding RNA (PSAT_LNC003858)". Lineage: Eukaryota; Viridiplantae; Streptophyta; Magnoliopsida; Fabales; Fabaceae. The record is from RNAcentral.